GGCAGUGUGACUGAGCAGUCUAAGGCACUAGAUUAUGGCUCCAGUCUCUUUGGGGGCGUGAGUUCGAAUCCCACCACUGCCA
This 82-nucleotide transfer RNA is filed under the name Tupaia belangeri chinensis (Chinese tree shrew). RNAcentral's name for it is "Tupaia chinensis (Chinese tree shrew) tRNA". It matches the Rfam family "tRNA". From Rfam's summary of the family: Transfer RNA (tRNA) molecules are approximately 80 nucleotides in length. The record is from Rfam by way of RNAcentral. Lineage: Eukaryota; Metazoa; Chordata; Mammalia; Scandentia; Tupaiidae.